UUGGCCAACUCUGCUGGAUAGGCAUCCUUGUCAUAUGGUUUCAAACGCUAGUACAUAACAUAAAAAAGGACGCACCAAACCUUUUAAAUAAAACACAAAGUUGAAAACAGUAGCGACGGAUAACCAGAGAUCAUUUUUCUUUCCAUUUUGAACAUCAAAAUUUUACAGCAAGAUAACCAAACAAAUGGAAGCUUUAAGGAAGCUAAAACGGAGAAAUGGAAAUAGAAACUCGAAAAGGAAACUAACCGGUUGCGGAGAGAUUGACCGACGGAUGUAGAGUAGUGGAGUGUACGGAGGACGUUUGGAAAUUUUUGUCCAUAUUCAGCUUGUGGUCCCCUUCUUCUUCUCAACCAAAUCCAUUUACUGUUGCAGCUUCGGCGCGGAUUGAGGUUGGUCUUCUCGAGCCUCACUGUAAGGCCAACGGCUGAGACAUCCACAGUUGAAACCAAAAGAUUUGUGUUAUCCUGGUUUAGAGUUAAAACUGUGAUAUCCUUCCCUUCUCCCAGUCUUAAUACAUCAGAUACCUCCAGAGUGUGCAUAUCCAGGAAGCAAACUGAUGGUGAUGGAAGAUCAUUUUCUAGAGAAUUAACUCCGAUCAAAGCACUUGUCCCAUCAACAAAAAUUUGCAUGCAGUUGAUACUGCAAAAGAAGGAGAAUUGUGCUCUUGCAAUUGGAGUACCGUUGAGAGUAAAGGUACUGGAGUAUGCUGUGAUUAAUUCCAAGUCAUUACAACCCCUUCAGAUGAAAGACAGACAAUAUGGGCCUCCACACCAUCCAAUCUUCUAAUUAAACGUCCUCUUCUAAUGGAGUGCAAGAGGACAUCUGAUGAAUGAGAGCAAGAAACAACUAUUCCGAGAUUUGAGUUAACAUAAUAACUGAUUAUUUCACUGCGGUACCCCCGAAGUACUUGUAUAGGGCCCUCAAUUCGACGUUUCCGAUUCUUUUCAAUCAAGUGUGAUGAACUAUUGCUGGUUGGAGAUUGUGUGUCUAUCCCAGUGGAAUGUUCUGAUACGAGAUUUGAGUGAGACACGAGAAUCCUAUGUAUUCUCUAGAGUAAUACUGUUGUAUCUCGGGAUCCUGUGACUAGGUAGUUACUAUCAGGUGAAAGACCAAGGCAAGUUACAAGAGCACAAUGUCCAUAAGCUGUUUCUAAGGUCUUAGCUCCAUCUGAUGAUAUCAGCCAAAU
Molecule: long non-coding RNA, 1186 nt
Organism: Lathyrus oleraceus (garden pea)
Lineage: Eukaryota; Viridiplantae; Streptophyta; Magnoliopsida; Fabales; Fabaceae
Exons: 3
Source: RefSeq, a predicted model, not a curated record